GAAAGAGAAGGAGAGGCGGAGAGGGAGAAGAGGGUCAAGAAGGAAAUGGAAAAGAAAGAGAAGGAGAGGCAGAGAGGGAGAAGAGGGUCAAGAAGGAAAUGGAAACGAAAGAGAAGGAGAGGCAGAGAGGGAGAAGAGGGUCAAGAAGGAAAUGGAAACGAAAGAGAAGGAGAGGCGGAGAGGGAGAAGAGGGUCAAGAAGGAAAUGGAAACGAAAGAGAAGGAGAGGCAGAGAGGGAGAAGAGGGUCAAGAAGGAAAUGGAAACGAAAGAGAAGGAGAGGCAGAGAGGGAGAAGAGGGUCAAGAAGGAAAUGGAAACGAAAGAGAAGGAGAGGCGGAGAGGGAGAAGAGGGUCAAGAAGGAAAUGGAAAAGAUAGAGAAGGAGAGGGAGAAGAGGGUAACGGAAGAAAUGGAGCAGGUGAGAGAUUGACGGCGCGAGCAAAGAGUGAGAGAGAACAUGGAAGGCGAGAAGGAAAGGAUGAAGGAGGAGAAAGAUUAAGGAAAGUCAAUAUUGGAAAGUAAAUCGAUGGAGAAGGAGAUGGACACCUGUUGAAUGUGAGACUGAACACAGAAAGGACAUGAGAUGCCUUCAUAAAGAGCCAGUAGUCUGAGACUGAGAUCCACACCCUGGUUUGCAUACGCCAUAGAAAUAUAAUACACCGUACUGCACAUAGCCACAGCCAUAGGAAUAGGAUAAGAAUAUCAUACAGAUUCCCAGAUGGGACAGCUACCAUCAUUUCAUCGUUGACCUCAUCAAAAGGGAGUAGGAUAAAGAGAGGAACACACACACCCAAAUUAUAAAUACAGGCAUGCAAAGACAAAUUGGUUAUUGGUCCAUGGCAUGUGAUGGAAUGGUGACUGACUAGAGAAAAUUGUUUAUUGGGCAUUUUAAUGACCUAUCCUACCUUUAUAAGUGUGACAUUGAUUUAUAAGUAUGUCCUACUUAUGAACAAUACAUUUACUAUUGUAAUCGUGCAGAUCUGACGACAUCGCUAUUGUCCUAUCCAUGACCAUGCACACCCGUGCCAAGUGCUUGCCACGGUUUCUGCAUUGAUUGACAAAUGUAACAGUCUGUUCACCAUGGCGGGUAUACGUACAGGAAGCCUACUUGUCAGAACCUGUAAUAGCCUAUUCUCUCAGUGUAUUUACCAAGUUCCUAACUAAAACAUAGAAUUUCUCGUGUUGCAAUGUCAUUAUACAUUUGUUCAAUUCGGCCUAUACCUUCUCUGACUGUGCCUAGAUAGUCAUUCAACCAGACAUAUGUGGUAUAUGACAUCAACUUGUGAAACUGUGCUGACUCAACUGGAAUACGAAAUCAGAGACUACCACCUAGUGGCAUUUGUUAGUAGUAGCAUCUCUUUUACAGUCGCACACAUCAAAUUACAAUCAAUUUACAAUCGCACAUAUCAAUGCAGAGAAAACAUUUAUUUGCAAAAAGAAUGCAUACAUUUCUUAAGCAGUACAUGAUCCUAAUAAUCUUCAGAAUCAUUAUAAUGGCAAAGGCAGUUUUGAAACAAAAUAUACAUAAUACGCAAUCUUCUGGAACACUGUAAUGCAUACAUCUUCAAAACAUUUAAAUUUAAAUACAUAAAAG
Long non-coding RNA from Oncorhynchus tshawytscha (Chinook salmon), 1593 nucleotides. The record is from Ensembl. NCBI's taxonomy places the organism in Eukaryota, Metazoa, Chordata, Actinopteri, Salmoniformes, Salmonidae.